GGGUUGUGAGGUUAAGCGACUAAGCGUACACGGUGGAUGCCCUGGCAGUCAGAGGCGAUGAAGGACGUGCUAAUCUGCGAUAAGCGUCGGUAAGGUGAUAUGAACCGUUAUAACCGGCGAUUUCCGAAUGGGGAAACCCAGUGUGAUUCGUCACACUAUCAUUAACUGAAUCCAUAGGUUAAUGAGGCGAACCGGGGGAACUGAAACAUCUAAGUACCCCGAGGAAAAGAAAUCAACCGAGAUACCCCCAGUAGCGGCGAGCGAACGGGGAGCAGCCCAGAGCCUGAAUCAGUGUGUGUGUUAGUGGAAGCGUCUGGAAAGGCGCGCGAUACAGGGUGACAGCCCCGUACACAAAAAUGCACAUACUGUGAGCUCGAUGAGUAGGGCGGGACACGUGGUAUCCUGUCUGAAUAUGGGGGGACCAUCCUCCAAGGCUAAAUACUCCUGACUGACCGAUAGUGAACCAGUACCGUGAGGGAAAGGCGAAAAGAACCCCGGCGAGGGGAGUGAAAAAGAACCUGAAACCGUGUACGUACAAGCAGUGGGAGCACGCUUAGGCGUGUGACUGCGUACCUUUUGUAUAAUGGGUCAGCGACUUAUAUUCUGUAGCAAGGUUAACCGAAUAGGGGAGCCGAAGGGAAACCGAGUCUUAACUGGGCGUUAAGUUGCAGGGUAUAGACCCGAAACCCGGUGAUCUAGCCAUGGGCAGGUUGAAGGUUGGGUAACACUAACUGGAGGACCGAACCGACUAAUGUUGAAAAAUUAGCGGAUGACUUGUGGCUGGGGGUGAAAGGCCAAUCAAACCGGGAGAUAGCUGGUUCUCCCCGAAAGCUAUUUAGGUAGCGCCUCGUGAAUUCAUCUCCGGGGGUAGAGCACUGUUUCGGCAAGGGGGUCAUCCCGACUUACCAACCCGAUGCAAACUGCGAAUACCGGAGAAUGUUAUCACGGGAGACACACGGCGGGUGCUAACGUCCGUCGUGAAGAGGGAAACAACCCAGACCGCCAGCUAAGGUCCCAAAGUCAUGGUUAAGUGGGAAACGAUGUGGGAAGGCCCAGACAGCCAGGAUGUUGGCUUAGAAGCAGCCAUCAUUUAAAGAAAGCGUAAUAGCUCACUGGUCGAGUCGGCCUGCGCGGAAGAUGUAACGGGGCUAAACCAUGCACCGAAGCUGCGGCAGCGACGCUGAUGCGUUGUUGGGUAGGGGAGCGUUCUGUAAGCCUGCGAAGGUGUGCUGUGAGGCAUGCUGGAGGUAUCAGAAGUGCGAAUGCUGACAUAAGUAACGAUAAAGCGGGUGAAAAGCCCGCUCGCCGGAAGACCAAGGGUUCCUGUCCAACGUUAAUCGGGGCAGGGUGAGUCGACCCCUAAGGCGAGGCCGAAAGGCGUAGUCGAUGGGAAACAGGUUAAUAUUCCUGUACUUGGUGUUACUGCGAAGGGGGGACGGAGAAGGCUAUGUUGGCCGGGCGACGGUUGUCCCGGUUUAAGCGUGUAGGCUGGUUUUCCAGGCAAAUCCGGAAAAUCAAGGCUGAGGCGUGAUGACGAGGCACUACGGUGCUGAAGCAACAAAUGCCCUGCUUCCAGGAAAAGCCUCUAAGCAUCAGGUAACAUCAAAUCGUACCCCAAACCGACACAGGUGGUCAGGUAGAGAAUACCAAGGCGCUUGAGAGAACUCGGGUGAAGGAACUAGGCAAAAUGGUGCCGUAACUUCGGGAGAAGGCACGCUGAUAUGUAGGUGAAGUCCCUCGCGGAUGGAGCUGAAAUCAGUCGAAGAUACCAGCUGGCUGCAACUGUUUAUUAAAAACACAGCACUGUGCAAACACGAAAGUGGACGUAUACGGUGUGACGCCUGCCCGGUGCCGGAAGGUUAAUUGAUGGGGUCAGCGCAAGCGAAGCUCUUGAUCGAAGCCCCGGUAAACGGCGGCCGUAACUAUAACGGUCCUAAGGUAGCGAAAUUCCUUGUCGGGUAAGUUCCGACCUGCACGAAUGGCGUAAUGAUGGCCAGGCUGUCUCCACCCGAGACUCAGUGAAAUUGAACUCGCUGUGAAGAUGCAGUGUACCCGCGGCAAGACGGAAAGACCCCGUGAACCUUUACUAUAGCUUGACACUGAACAUUGAGCCUUGAUGUGUAGGAUAGGUGGGAGGCUUUGAAGUGUGGACGCCAGUCUGCAUGGAGCCGACCUUGAAAUACCACCCUUUAAUGUUUGAUGUUCUAACGUUGACCCGUGAUCCGGGUUGCGGACAGUGUCUGGUGGGUAGUUUGACUGGGGCGGUCUCCUCCUAAAGAGUAACGGAGGAGCACGAAGGUUGGCUAAUCCUGGUCGGACAUCAGGAGGUUAGUGCAAUGGCAUAAGCCAGCUUGACUGCGAGCGUGACGGCGCGAGCAGGUGCGAAAGCAGGUCAUAGUGAUCCGGUGGUUCUGAAUGGAAGGGCCAUCGCUCAACGGAUAAAAGGUACUCCGGGGAUAACAGGCUGAUACCGCCCAAGAGUUCAUAUCGACGGCGGUGUUUGGCACCUCGAUGUCGGCUCAUCACAUCCUGGGGCUGAAGUAGGUCCCAAGGGUAUGGCUGUUCGCCAUUUAAAGUGGUACGCGAGCUGGGUUUAGAACGUCGUGAGACAGUUCGGUCCCUAUCUGCCGUGGGCGCUGGAGAAUUGAGGGGGGCUGCUCCUAGUACGAGAGGACCGGAGUGGACGCAUCACUGGUGUUCGGGUUGUCAUGCCAAUGGCACUGCCCGGUAGCUAAAUGCGGAAGAGAUAAGUGCUGAAAGCAUCUAAGCACGAAACUUGCCCCGAGAUGAGUUCUCCCUGACUCCUUGAGAGUCCUGAAGGAACGUUGAAGACGACGACGUUGAUAGGCCGGGUGUGUAAGCGCAGCGAUGCGUUGAGCUAACCGGUACUAAUGAACCGUGAGGCUUAACCUUACAACGCCGAAGCUGUU
This 2930-nucleotide ribosomal RNA is filed under the name Escherichia coli. Its description in RNAcentral is "23S ribosomal RNA". It matches the Rfam family "Bacterial large subunit ribosomal RNA". Lineage: Bacteria; Pseudomonadati; Pseudomonadota; Gammaproteobacteria; Enterobacterales; Enterobacteriaceae. RNAcentral also lists the same sequence under 1 other name. The record is from RNAcentral.